AUAAACGCAGCUUCGCAUAGAGCCCCUCUCCUAGCCCCUCCACGGCGUGAGGCCGGGGGUCGCGGGGAAAAGAGAAACACAAGGGGGGAGGAGAGGGAGAGGAGGGAACGCGCUACGCCCGCUAGAAGAAGCAACCGCCGUCUUAUCACAGCCCCCCGAGACCGUUACAUAACGGCAGCAAGGAGCGCAGCGCUGCGCAACCCGCUGCGGUGCGGGGAGACUCCGCUCCCACCGGGGCACGGUACACACACACAACGAAAAGCCUCCCCGUAGGGCUGCACUGACCAAAUGUAAUCAGCCAGCGCGCCGGCAAGGGGCGAGAGGACAAGAAACACCAGUGAAGCGUGACGGUUCCAAAAAAAAAACAAAACAAAAAACAAAACAAAAAAAAAAAGGGAAAAAGAAACAUAAAAGAGGGACUUAGGAAGCUGACCCUGCCUCAGUCCACUUACCACCGGCUCACCGAGGGAGCGACAGCUCCUGCCAGCCCAACCUGACUCUCGCCCCGACUCUGACGCGACCAGCAGCCAACCCCGAGCUGGCGCGGCGGCUCAGCCAGGCUCCUGCCCUCCCGGCAGCGGCAUUGGCGAGCGCCCGGCACCGCCUACUCGCCCUCCUCUGCCGUUCAUCCCCAUAGGACAGACGAGCUGUCCAGCUGGCGACCGCUCCCGCCUCCCACGGAGCGUGAGGUCUAAUGUCAUAUUUUGCCACCUGUGCUCAUUCUUCAGACGUAUUUUAAAAGCUGAACCCUACUCCUCAGUUAAGCCUUCUUAUAUAUUGCAAACAAAAGCCAGCCCAUUAGAAAAUACAAUGGAAACAGCCAACUAGAAUAAAAACCAUAGCAAGCAAAAUCACAGAGUGGCAAUUUGUAAACAGAAUCUGCGAUGCUCUUGGUUAGUUGAAGAAUUCCAGCAAAGGAAUAAUGGACCUUUUAGUGAAGGCAGUGGCAGACUGAAUUGUACUUGUUUUAAGAUUAAUCUGCUGUUUGAAAACUACGGGCAUGAUUUCAGAAAAGAAAAACUAAAAUAAUAUGGAAUGCCUUGCAUGCACUGCAAUGAUCCACUGUAACAACAAAGAAGUGUUUGUUCAUGUGUAAAAAUAAAGGUUCAGUUAAGAUAAAAUUUUAAAAAUUAUUUUUCUGGUCAAUAGUGAAUCCCUUUUGCUAUCCGGUGGAAGAAAAGAUCGUUCUUUUCACACUGAAAGGCACAGACAUACUCUCUCAAAUUUUGCUGAAGCUGACCAAGAUAUCUUUGGUUCCAGGUUAGAUUAGACUUACACCACUGUUUCACUACUUCACCAGAAUGUAAGAAUGGAAUGUCUCUAACAGUUUAUUUCAUACUCUUACAUGUCAAAGUGUUGCUAAAGGUAGGUUAGUUUGUGUCAGACAAAGAGUGGAAAGAUCUGAGACAUAAAAAAGUGCUCUGCUUCUUCUCUCUAAAUACUGAAAAGUCCUGUCAUGAAAAAGAGCAGAUAGAUAUAACGAAGAGACUGAAUUUGGCAUUAAACUACCCCCAUCGUGAACAACUAAAGACGUUCAAAGCCUCAAGUAUGAGGAAAAGCUCAGAGAUGUGGAACCAUUCUGCCUAGAGGAGAGAAGGCUCAGGAAGAAUUUUAUUGAUGUCUGUACCUGAAAGGAGGGAGCAAAGAAGCCAGGAUCUUUUCAGUUGUGCCUGGGGGAGUGGCCAAGAUGACUUGCAGAGGAUCUGCCAUACAAGUGAUGUCUAAUGAACAGCUAUACAUGGUUUGCAUUUUGCAUUACUAGUGCCCAGCGUGGGAUUGGGCUUUUCCUAGAAUAGUCUCAGAUAUACAGGUAAGUGAUCACUAAAAUCACAUCAACUAAAUUACCCAGAGCAAACAGUUUGACAGCUUUGGGCUUUUAGGUUGGAUACAAAGCCCAUUUAUGAGAAGAACAAUAACUAGUGUUCUGAAUACAUCAGAUAUGUGCAAAGGGAUAAUAUUUGAUGAGAUGUAAAAGAAACAAACAAACAAAAAAGAACCCCUCCAUUACUAAAUUACCAAGCCAAAACAAAAUGUUUCAACAUUGGAAACUUAUUUGAUAUGCUCUCCAGCUCUUUUAUUACAGCAGCACCACAGAACAGUUUUCUACAUAAUAAAGCACUGUUAUCCAUGGCCACCACUCUGAUAAAACAUUUGUGUGCUUUUUCUGAUGGACAGAAGAAAAGGUAGGCUAUACUGGUUGGUGCAGAUCCAUAUUAGAAUCAUAGAAAGUUUGGUAUUAGAAGGGAGUUUAAGAUCAUCUAGUUCCAACACCACUGCCACGAGAGGGAACGACUUCCACUAGACCAGGUUGCUCAAAGCCCCACCCAACCUGGCCAUUAACACUUCCAGAGAUGGGACAUUCAGAACUUUUCUGGGAAGCAAGUUCCAUUGCCUCAUCGCCCCUGAAGAAUUUUCUCUUAACAUUUUAUAUUAAUCUAUCUGUUUUUUUUUUAAUUAUUAUUAUUUUUUAAAGUUAUUACCCUUUGUCCUUUAAUUUCUUGAUACAAAUUUCCUCUCCAGUUGUCUUGUAGAUCCCCAUUAGGUAAGAGAAGGUGGUUAUAAGAUCCCCCUAGAGAAGAGAGCUUUAUGUUCUCAAGGCUGAACAACCCCAACUAUCUCAGCCUAUUGUCAUAGGAGAGGUGCUCCAACCAUCUAAUCAUAAUCAUGGCCCUCCUCUGGAUUCACUCCAGUAGAUGCAUGUAUUUCUUAUGCUGGUGGCCCGAAAGCCGAACAGAGUAUUCCAGGCAGGGUCUCAUGUGAGGAUGUAGAAGGGGAAAAUAUCUCCCUUGACCUACUGGUCACAUUUAUUUUGAUGCAGUCCAAGAUAUGCUUGGCUGAUUUUCUCCUACAGUGGGCAGUAUUUCACUAUUCCAGUUCCUGCCUUUGAUUUCUGUGACUUAGUAUGCCCAAAUUUCUUGAUACCAUCAAACCAGACAGUGGUUCUUUUGGGUUAAAAUUCAGCUCUGCAACACUGGUCAUUUACAUUUCAAAUUUAUUCUCAUAUUGAAAUAUGGUUAUAUUCCUCAUAUAGUGAGUGAAUGCUGAGUUAAUGUUUGAAGCUCAUUUGCAGGCAUUUUAUGUUUAUCUAAAAGAGGAGAGUGAUUAUUUACUGAUAGUAGUGAAAGAUGGAUCCUGCACCUGUUCAUUAAAAAGCCUUCAAGUCACUGAUGCAAUGGGGACCAUACUGUUCAGUCCUUCAUAUCUAGGUCACACUAUGGCUCCAGUUUUAAAUUUUCAAAUUGUUUAGUUCCAUAAGCAAAUUAAAUAGAGAUAUGAAUAAGGUUCAGUAGCUCUCUCUAAUUCAAAUAUGUCUCAUGUAUGUCAGAUUCACAACUACAAAGUUUAUCAAGUUUUGCGCUAGCUGAAUAAACCAACUACCUGAAGAAAGUCGCUUCCAGAAAAGAAAGCAGGUGACCAGUUUCAUCUUCAUUUUUCAUUUCUGCUCUCAUGCUUAGGCAUAAACAGAAAAAGUAUAGCCAAGACAUAAAAGACAAAUGAUUCUUAAGAGCCAUUUCCAGACCACUAACUAUUCACAUCAAAGCAAGAAUGACCCUGAGAUUGCUUGAUCACAAAUCUGGAAUACUGGGCCAAUAUACAUUAUGGAGCCUAGAACAGAGGAGCCAUGUCAAGGCUGAGGAAAGCUGUCAUAAUCUCCUUUGUAAGACAGGUUAUUUAGAUGCAGGUAAUUUAGAAGGCUAAUUUAUUAAUGAAAAUUAUUUAUCUUAAUGCCAAUGCAUUAAUGCAGUGAAAAAUUUAGAACACUCUACACUAAAGAUUUAAAAAAGAAAUUAAAUAUCUUAUCUAGCUUAUUUCAAAAAGGACUACUAAAUGUGUAUUUCUCAGCUUUAUAAAAAUUGCAUGCUUGGUGAUUCAAGAUUACAAGUAGUGUGCAUGUUACUACACUGAGUGAUUGUAAAAAGCUAGUGGAUUAACAAACUACUGACAGUAAGAUUUCUUAAUGCAUUUAUUGCCCUUUGAGUUAUUCUGGUCCUGACUGUUGGCAGAAAAACAAAGAUCAGUUUGUAGAAUUCAGCAGACGUCUAUCUUAGAACAGAGCCAACAGCUAGACUGAUGAAGUCAUGAGAGACUUGACUCAGAUCAUAAGUAAACAAGGUUUACUGU
RNAcentral lists this long non-coding RNA (4122 nucleotides) under Meleagris gallopavo (turkey). RNAcentral's name for it is "lncRNA (ENSMGAG00000022857.1)". The record is from RNAcentral. Lineage: Eukaryota; Metazoa; Chordata; Aves; Galliformes; Phasianidae.